CGAUGAUCCCAGCUUGCUGGGGGAUUAGUGGCGAACGGGUGAGUAACACGUGAGUAACCUGCCCUUGACUCUGGGAUAAGCCUGGGAAACUGGGUCUAAUACCGGAUAUGACCUUCCAUCGCAUGGUGGUUGGUGGAAAGCUUUUGUGGUUUUGGAUGGACUCGCGGCCUAUCAGCUUGUUGGUGAGGUAAUGGCUUACCAAGGCGACGACGGGUAGCCGGCCUGAGAGGGUGACCGGCCACACUGGGACUGAGACACGGCCCAGACUCCUACGGGAGGCAGCAGUGGGGAAUAUUGCACAAUGGGCGCAAGCCUGAUGCAGCGACGCCGCGUGAGGGAUGACGGCCUUCGGGUUGUAAACCUCUUUCAGUAGGGAAGAAGCGUAAGUGACGGUACCUGCAGAAGAAGCGCCGGCUAACUACGUGCCAGCAGCCGCGGUAAUACGUAGGGCGCAAGCGUUAUCCGGAAUUAUUGGGCGUAAAGAGCUCGUAGGCGGUUUGUCGCGUCUGCCGUGAAAGUCCGGGGCUCAACUCCGGAUCUGCGGUGGGUACGGGCAGACUAGAGUGAUGUAGGGGAGACUGGAAUUCCUGGUGUAGCGGUGAAAUGCGCAGAUAUCAGGAGGAACACCGAUGGCGAAGGCAGGUCUCUGGGCAUUAACUGACGCUGAGGAGCGAAAGCAUGGGGAGCGAACAGGAUUAGAUACCCUGGUAGUCCAUGCCGUAAACGUUGGGCACUAGGUGUGGGGGACAUUCCACGUUUUCCGCGCCGUAGCUAACGCAUUAAGUGCCCCGCCUGGGGAGUAC
Molecule: ribosomal RNA, 803 nt
Filed under: Pseudarthrobacter sp.
Lineage: Bacteria; Bacillati; Actinomycetota; Actinomycetes; Micrococcales; Micrococcaceae
Description: bacterial SSU rRNA
Rfam family: Bacterial small subunit ribosomal RNA
Source: RNAcentral